AUGCAGGAGUGUGAAUAUAUGAAGGGGCGAAUGAGAGAGGCUGAGUGUGUGAGGGAGAGUGUGUGUGAACGGUAUGCGUGUGAAUGUGCGGGAGAAAGUGUGUGCUCCUGUGAGUCUAUGCGUAGGUGUAUGUGUAAGAACGUGCGCGCCACGGUGUGUGUGAAGAGUAGGAGCGCGGGUGUGGGAGAUCGAGCGCGUGAAGUUUGCCCGGGAGAGUGUGCGUGGCUGGGACGCGUGCGUGGGGCGUGGCUCCUGGAGCCCCACCUCCGCCGCUCACCUCCCUGGAGCCUGGCGCCUACCUCUCUCUGCGGAGCAGCGAGGUCCCUGAGAGAGGGAGGGAAAGAAGAAGGGGACAGGAGUGGCCCCUCACAGCGGAAACCUGCAAAUGGGCUUGUGGAUACAGUGGGGAAGAGGAAGAAGGGCUGUGUCCUGAAUGCUGUAAUUAAAUUUGAGGUUGCAGGAACACACGGAUGCUAACUUCCUUCAGCGGGGUCAAGAAGGAAGAGUGAGUUCCUGUUCCUUCUGACUUGGCUCUAGUAAUCCUCUAUUGCUACAUAACUGAGUACCUCAAAACUUUGUGAUUGAAAGAAGAAUAAAUAAAUGCUGGCUAUUUCU
RNAcentral lists this long non-coding RNA (615 nucleotides) under Ursus maritimus (polar bear). Its description in RNAcentral is "lncRNA (ENSUMAG00000003575.1)". Lineage: Eukaryota; Metazoa; Chordata; Mammalia; Carnivora; Ursidae. The record is from RNAcentral.